GGAGGUAAUUUAGCCAUUUUAAUCAGCUGUGUGGGAUCAAGGACACAUCUAAAACCUGCAGGACACCGGCCCUUGAGGCCUGGAGAUCCCCACCCUUGGUUUAGUGAAAGUGGCCACUCCAUUUGUUGGUUUACUACUGAAGGGACUGCUAAUAUACCUAUGUUAAGGUAUUAUUGCAGUUGUUUGCUCAGAGAAAACAGCAGGACCAAAACUCUUAAGAAGAAAAGGGCUUGAUGUCAAUGGAGUCGUAUGCCAGGAGCUCCUUUGGUGUCACGUUCUCAUCUCCUCCUCGUCCUCUUCUGUUCUCUAAAAUAAAGGAAAAAAAAAAAGAA
This is a long non-coding RNA of Oreochromis niloticus (Nile tilapia), 332 nucleotides long. RefSeq lists it as uncharacterized. The transcript is spliced from 3 exons. NCBI's taxonomy places the organism in Eukaryota, Metazoa, Chordata, Actinopteri, Cichliformes, Cichlidae. The record is from RefSeq and is a predicted model, not a curated record.